Molecule: transfer RNA, 75 nt
Filed under: Sphingomonas sp.
Lineage: Bacteria; Pseudomonadati; Pseudomonadota; Alphaproteobacteria; Sphingomonadales; Sphingomonadaceae
Also listed under: 10 other names
Description: tRNA-Asn
Rfam family: tRNA
About the family: Transfer RNA (tRNA) molecules are approximately 80 nucleotides in length. Their secondary structure includes four short double-helical elements and three loops (D, anti-codon, and T loops).
Source: RNAcentral
UCCCUGAUAGCUCAGCGGUAGAGCAUCCGACUGUUAAUCGGACGGUCGUAGGUUCGAAUCCUACUCAGGGAGCCA